This 301-nucleotide ribosomal RNA is filed under the name uncultured bacterium. Its description in RNAcentral is "partial 16S ribosomal RNA". It matches the Rfam family "Bacterial small subunit ribosomal RNA", at positions 509 to 809 of the family's 1533-position model. The record is from RNAcentral.
CAGUAGCCGCGGUAAUACGUAGGGUCCGAGCGUUGUCCGGAAUUAUUGGGCGUAAAGGGCUCGUAGGCGGUUUGUUGCGUCGGGAGUGAAAACCCAGGGCUUAACUUUGGGCUUGCUUUCGAUACGGGCAGACUCGAGGCAUUGAGGGGAGAACGGAAUUCCUGGUGUAGCGGUGAAAUGCGCAGAUAUCAGGAGGAACACCGGUGGCGAAGGCGGUUCUCUGGCAAUGUUCUGACGCUGAGGAGCGAAAGUGUGGGGAGCGAACAGGAUUAGAUACCCCCGUAGUCCCUGUCUCUUAUAU